RNAcentral lists this ribosomal RNA (305 nucleotides) under uncultured bacterium. RNAcentral's name for it is "bacterial SSU rRNA". It matches the Rfam family "Bacterial small subunit ribosomal RNA", at positions 334 to 637 of the family's 1533-position model. The record is from RNAcentral.
UGAUCCUACGGGAGGCAGCAGUGAGGAAUAUUGGUCAAUGGGCGGAAGCCUGAACCAGCCAAGUCGCGUGAGGGAAUAAGGCCCUACGGGUCGUAAACCUCUUUUGUCAGGGAACAAAGGCGGGGACGUGUCCCCGGAUGAGUGUACCUGAAGAAAAAGCAUCGGCUAACUCCGUGCCAGCAGCCGCGGUAAUACGGAGGAUGCGAGCGUUAUCCGGAUUUAUUGGGUUUAAAGGGUGCGCAGGCGGUCUGUUAAGUCAGCGGUCAAAGCCCGGGGCUCAACCCCGGCCCGCCGUUGAAACUGGC